This 819-nucleotide ribosomal RNA is filed under the name Neohelicomyces sp. Its description in RNAcentral is "partial large subunit ribosomal RNA". It matches the Rfam family "Eukaryotic large subunit ribosomal RNA", at positions 91 to 931 of the family's 3401-position model. Lineage: Eukaryota; Fungi; Ascomycota; Dothideomycetes; Tubeufiales; Tubeufiaceae. The record is from RNAcentral.
GAGUGAAGCGGCAAGAGCUCAAAUUUGAAAUCUGGCUCUUUCAGAGUCCGAGUUGUAAUUUGUAGAGGAUGCUUCGGCUUACGUUUCGGUCUAAGUUCCUUGGAACAGGACGUCACAGAGGGUGAGAAUCCCGUUUGUGGCCGAGACUUCCGCCAUGUGAAGCUCCUUCGACGAGUCGAGUUGUUUGGGAAUGCAGCUCUAAAUGGGAGGUAAAUUUCUUCUAAAGCUAAAUACCGGCCAGAGACCGAUAGCGCACAAGUAGAGUGAUCGAAAGAUGAAAAGCACUUUGGAAAGAGAGUUAAAAAGUACGUGAAAUUGUUGAAAGGGAAGCGCUUGCGACCAGACUUGCCCGCGGAUGCUCAACCGGUCCUUCGGCCGGUGCACUCUUCCGCGGUCAGGCCAGCAUCAGUUCGAGCGGUCGGAUAAAGGCCUUGGGAAUGUGGCUCUCUUCGGGGAGUGUUAUAGCCCUUGGUGUAAUACGGCCUGCUUGGACUGAGGCCCGCGCUUCGGCUAGGAUGCUGGCGUAAUGGUCGUAAGCGGCCCGUCUUGAAACACGGACCAAGGAGUCUAACAUCUAUGCGAGUGUUUGGGUGUCAAACCCGUACGCGAAAUGAAAGUAAACGGAGGUGGGAAUCUUCGGAUGCACCAUCGACCGAUCCUGAUGUCUUCGGAUGGAUUUGAGUAAGAGCAUAGCUGUUGGGACCCGAAAGAUGGUGAACUAUGCCUGAAUAGGGUGAAGCCAGAGGAAACUCUGGUGGAGGCUCGCAGCGGUUCUGACGUGCAAAUCGAUCGUCAAAUUUGGGUAUAGGGGCGAAAGAC